This 332-nucleotide unclassified non-coding RNA is filed under the name soil metagenome. Its description in RNAcentral is "partial contains 5.8S ribosomal RNA, internal transcribed spacer 2, and large subunit ribosomal RNA". The stretch from base 1 to 120 matches the Rfam family "5.8S ribosomal RNA", at positions 35 to 154 of the family's 154-position model. The record is from RNAcentral.
GAUGAAGAACGCAGCGAAAUGCGAUACGUAAUGUGAAUUGCAGAAUUCAGUGAAUCAUCGAAUCUUUGAACGCACAUUGCGCCCGCCAGUAUUCUGGCGGGCAUGCCUGUCCGAGCGUCAUUUCAACCAUCAAGCCCCGGGCUUGUGUUGGGGACCUGCGUCCGACGCAGGCCCUGAAAACCAGUGGCGGGCUCGCUGUCCACACCGAGCGUAGUAACUAACCUCGCUAUGGAGUGGCGCGGGCGCCUGCCGUAAAACCCCCAAUUUCACAAGGUUGACCUCGGAUCAGGUAGGAAUACCCGCUGAACUUAAGCAUAUCAAUAAGCGGAGGA